Long non-coding RNA from Brassica oleracea var. oleracea, 527 nucleotides. RefSeq lists it as uncharacterized. The transcript is spliced from 2 exons. The record is from RefSeq and is a predicted model, not a curated record. NCBI's taxonomy places the organism in Eukaryota, Viridiplantae, Streptophyta, Magnoliopsida, Brassicales, Brassicaceae.
UAAACAUAAAAUUCAAAAAAAAACAAUAAGUAACGUGCUCGUAUCAUAAGAAUAUCACAAAGAACAAUAUGUCGUCAUCACAACUUGCUAUUUUUUGCAUCAUCAUGAUUGCUUUAUUUCCUCUUCAUGAAUUUGUUCAUGGCCAAGGUCUUAACGCGGGCAAUGCAGCUAAACAAACUUGCAAGCAAAUGAAUUGCGACACUCAAGACAAAAAUCGCAGUUGUUCUUGUUGUGUCACUAAAUCUGGGAAGCCCCUCUGGUGUCACAAGAGCAAAGAUGAAUGUACGCUUAGGUGUACCAAACCACUUAACUCGAGAACUUAAAUAAGGAAUUCUAAGAAACUAAAUAAAGUUUUAUUUAAUGCUUAAUAUGUACCUUUUUGAGAAAACCUAAUAUCUUCUGUCAUUUCCCAUUAUAUGAAUAACACUGACUUAUUUGGAGUCCAACAAGUUUAUGCCUAUUUUUGUGUUUAAAGACUUUCAUAACCUACGUAAUAUACAAUAGUUUAAUUUAUCUUCUUUUUCAUA